UACGGAGGGAGCAAGCGUUAUUCGGAAUUAUUGGGCGUAAAGAGCUCGUAGGCGGUCUGUCGCGUCGGACGUGAAAACCCAGGGCUCAACCCUGGGCCUGCGUUCGAUACGGGCAGACUAGAGUUCGGUAGGGGAGACUGGAAUUCCUGGUGUAGCGGUGAAAUGCGCAGAUAUCAGGAGGAACACCGGUGGCGAAGGCGGGUCUCUGGGCCGAAACUGACGCUGAGGAGCGAAAGCGUGGGGAGCGAACAGG
RNAcentral lists this ribosomal RNA (253 nucleotides) under uncultured bacterium. RNAcentral describes it as "partial 16S ribosomal RNA". It matches the Rfam family "Bacterial small subunit ribosomal RNA", at positions 524 to 776 of the family's 1533-position model. The record is from RNAcentral.